UACGUAGGGUGCAAGCGUUGUCCGGAAUUAUUGGGCGUAAAGAGCUCGUAGGCGGUUUGUCGCGUCUGCUGUGAAAACCGGAGGCUCAACCUCCGGCCUGCAGUGGGUACGGGCAGACUAGAGUGGCGGUAGGGGAGAUUGGAAUUCCUGGUGUAGCGGUGGAAUGCGCAGAUAUCAGGAGGAACACCGAUGGCGAAGGCAGAUCUCUGGGCCGUAACUGACGCUGAGGAGCGAAAGCAUGGGGGAGCGAACAGG
RNAcentral lists this ribosomal RNA (255 nucleotides) under uncultured bacterium. RNAcentral describes it as "partial 16S ribosomal RNA". It matches the Rfam family "Bacterial small subunit ribosomal RNA", at positions 524 to 776 of the family's 1533-position model. The record is from RNAcentral.